AAUACCAAAUCAUAGAUACAGCAUGAUCCUGAUUUUUUGUUUUUACUAACAGUAAACGUUCAUAUAAAAAGACUAGAAGGAAAUUAACCAAUUGUUAACAGUGUCUGACUCUAGGUGGUGGGAUUAUAGUGGAUUAUAAUAAUAAAAGCUAACACUUGUAUAGCGCUUUUCUCAGCACUUUACAUAUAUUUAUAUACACUUACUCCUUAUAUCUAUCCUACAGGAGAAAUACCAUAUUAUCCCCAUUUUGCAGAUGAGGAGACAGAAGUGGAGAGAGGUGAAGUGACUUGCUCAACAUCACACAGUUGCCUUCCCACGUGUGUGAGACCAUUGCUGUGGAAAGAAGCCGGGCCUGACUUCAGGGAUCUGGUGUGAAAUGACUGGACCCAUGCGUUCUGAGUAAACAAGAGAGCCCCUUCUGGCUUCUCCGGGAGGAACCAAAUGGCUUCAGCAUUCAGCUCCAAAGCCCGAUGGAGACCAAGAGUGAUACACUGUACUCAUGAUCAACUGCUCAGUUCUGGUUUGGGCCUCUGAGGGCUGAUGGGGUUUGGCAGUUCUGCCUCCACACAGCUGCCAAGGCCACCAUAAUUCUGGGACCUAGGAGUAAUUUCAAAGGUUUGGCUGUUACAUAUACAGCUGUUAUAAACAUCUGUGUGGGUGUCUUUCCAAAUGGAAUUGCUGGUUCAUGGGUAAGCAUACAUUCAACUUUCACAGAUAUUGCCUCAUAGUUUGCCAAAGGGUUGUACCAAUUUACACUCCUGCCAGCAGUGCAUGAGAGUUUUGGUGACUCUCAUCUUCACCAAUAUUUGGGCAUUUGUAUUUUCUUUCAUUUUAUUCAUUCUAGUGUGUUGAUGAUGACAUCUCAUUACAGUUUUAAUUUACAUUUUCUUUUUGACUAAG
RNAcentral lists this long non-coding RNA (900 nucleotides) under Homo sapiens (human). RNAcentral's name for it is "HSALNT0407777". Lineage: Eukaryota; Metazoa; Chordata; Mammalia; Primates; Hominidae. The record is from RNAcentral.